AUUGAACGCUGGCGGCAUGCCUUACACAUGCAAGUCGAACGGCAGCACGGGGGCAACCCUGGUGGCGAGUGGCGAACGGGUGAGUAAUACAUCGGAACGUGUCCUUUCGUGGGGGAUAACCAGUCGAAAGACUGGCUAAUACCGCAUGAGAUCUCACGAUGAAAGCGAGGGACCGCAAGGCCUCGCGCGAUUGGAGCGGCCGAUGUCGGAUUAGCUAGUUGGCGGGGUAAAAGCCCACCAAGGCGACGAUCCGUAGCUGGUUUGAGAGAACGACCAGCCACACGGGGACUGAGACACGGCCCAGACUCCUACGGGAGGCAGCAGUGGGGAAUUUUGGACAAUGGGCGCAGGCCUGAUCCAGCCAUGCCGCGUGUGUGAAGAAGGCCUUCGGGUUGUAAAGCACUUUCGGCCGGAACGAAAUCGCGCGGGUUAACAGUCCGCGUGGAUGACGGUACCGGAAGAAGAAGCACCGGCUAACUACGUGCCAGCAGCCGCCGUAA
Molecule: ribosomal RNA, 500 nt
Filed under: uncultured bacterium
Lineage: Bacteria
Description: partial 16S ribosomal RNA
Rfam family: Bacterial small subunit ribosomal RNA
Source: RNAcentral